This 353-nucleotide unclassified non-coding RNA is filed under the name soil metagenome. RNAcentral's name for it is "partial contains 5.8S ribosomal RNA, internal transcribed spacer 2, and large subunit ribosomal RNA". The stretch from base 1 to 120 matches the Rfam family "5.8S ribosomal RNA", at positions 35 to 154 of the family's 154-position model. The record is from RNAcentral.
GAUGAAGAACGUAGCGAAAUGCGAUAAGUAAUGUGAAUUGCAGAAUUCAGUGAAUCAUCGAAUCUUUGAACGCACAUUGCGCCCGCCAGUAUUCUGGCGGGCAUGCCUGUUCGAGCGUCAUUACAACCCUCAGGCCCCCGGGCCUGGCGUUGGGGAUCGGCGAGGCGCCCCCCGCGGGCACGCGCCGUCCCCCAAAUACAGUGGCGGUCCCGCCGCAGCUUCCAUUGCGUAGUAGCUAACACCUCGCAACUGGAGAGCGGCGCGGCCAUGCCGUAAAACACCCAACUUCUGAAUGUUGACCUCGAAUCAGGUAGGAAUACCCGCUGAACUUAAGCAUAUCAAUAAGCCGAGGA